GCCGAUGUAGCUCAGUGGUAGAGCAGCUGAUUCGUAAUCAGCAGGUCGUGGGUUCAAGUCCCACUAUCGGCUCCA
This 75-nucleotide transfer RNA is filed under the name Bacillota bacterium. RNAcentral's name for it is "tRNA-Thr". It matches the Rfam family "tRNA". Rfam says of the family: Transfer RNA (tRNA) molecules are approximately 80 nucleotides in length. Their secondary structure includes four short double-helical elements and three loops (D, anti-codon, and T loops). The record is from RNAcentral. RNAcentral also lists the same sequence under 1 other name. Lineage: Bacteria; Bacillati; Bacillota.